ACCAUGUGUGGUGUAGUUGGUAGCACCUAUUUGCUUUGUAAUUAUAUGUCCUAGGUUCAAGUCCUGGUUGGGGUA
Molecule: non-coding RNA, 75 nt
Organism: Halocaridina rubra (Hawaiian volcano shrimp)
Lineage: Eukaryota; Metazoa; Arthropoda; Malacostraca; Decapoda; Atyidae
Source: the annotation of a GenBank genome assembly